AUGAACGCUGGCGGCGUGCCUAAUACAUGCAAGUCGAGCGAACAGACGAGGAGCUUGCUCCUCUGAUGUUAGCGGCGGACGGGUGAGUAACACGUGGAUAACCUACCUAUAAGACUGGGAUAACUUCGGGAAACCGGAGCUAAUACCGGAUAACAUGUUGAACCGCAUGGUUCAACAGUGAAAGACGGUCUUGCUGUCACUUAUAGAUGGAUCCGCGCCGCAUUAGCUAGUUGGUAAGGUAACGGCUUACCAAGGCAACGAUGCGUAGCCGACCUGAGAGGGUGAUCGGCCACACUGGAACUGAGACACGGUCCAGACUACUAAGGGAGGCAGCAGUAGGGAAUCUUCAGAAAUGGGAGAAAGCCUGACGGAGCAACGCCGCGUGAGUGAAGAAGGUCUUCGGAUCGUAAAACUCUGUUAGUAGGGAAGAACAAAUGUGUAAGUAACUAUGCACGUCUUGACGGUACCUAAUCAGAAAGCCACGGCUAACUACGUG
RNAcentral lists this ribosomal RNA (496 nucleotides) under uncultured bacterium. RNAcentral describes it as "partial 16S ribosomal RNA". It matches the Rfam family "Bacterial small subunit ribosomal RNA", at positions 29 to 507 of the family's 1533-position model. The record is from RNAcentral.